AGUGGCGAACGGGUGAGUAACACGUGGGUGAUCUGCCCUGCACUUUGGGAUAAGCCUGGGAAACUGGGUCUAAUACCGGAUAGGACUACGCACUGCAUGGUGUGUGGUGGAAAGCUUUUGCGGUGUGGGAUGGGCCCGCGGCCUAUCAGCUUGUUGGUGGGGUGAUGGCCUACCAAGGCGACGACGGGUAGCCGGCCUGAGAGGGUGACCGGCCACACUGGGACUGAGAUACGGCCCAGACUCCUACGGGAGGCAGCAGUGGGGAAUAUUGCACAAUGGGCGCAAGCCUGAUGCAGCGACGCCGCGUGAGGGAUGACGGCCUUCGGGUUGUAAACCUCUUUCGCCAGGGACGAAGCGCAAGUGACGGUACCUGGAGAAGAAGGACCGGCCAACUACGUGCCAGCAGCCGCGGUAAUACGUAGGGUCCGAGCGUUGUCCGGAAUUACUG
RNAcentral lists this ribosomal RNA (448 nucleotides) under Mycolicibacterium iranicum. RNAcentral describes it as "bacterial SSU rRNA". It matches the Rfam family "Bacterial small subunit ribosomal RNA", at positions 94 to 556 of the family's 1533-position model. Lineage: Bacteria; Bacillati; Actinomycetota; Actinomycetes; Mycobacteriales; Mycobacteriaceae. The record is from RNAcentral.